CGAGCCGGCUGGACGGUCGCGGCGGGAUCCUCCGGAUCCUGUCGAGGAAAGUCCGGACUCCACAGGGCAAGGUGGUUGUUAACGACAACCCGGGGUGACCCGCGGGACAGUGCCACAGAAAACAGACCGCCAGCGCGUCCGCGCGCUGGUAAGGGUGAAACGGCGGUGUAAGAGACCACCAGCGUUCCGGGUGACCGGAGCGGCUAGGCAAACCCCACCUGGAGCAAGAUCGAGAAGAGUCAUCUCGGCAACGGGGUGGCUCGCGCAGGCGCUCGAGGGCGGCCCGCCCGAGCCUGCGGGUAGAUCGCUAGAGCCUGCCGGCGACGGCAGGUCGAGAUGGAUGGCCGUCACCCGGCGCGCGAGUGUCGGGCACAGGAUCCGGCUUACAGGCCGACUCGUCCG
RNAcentral lists this RNase P RNA (402 nucleotides) under Pseudonocardiales bacterium. RNAcentral describes it as "RNase P RNA component class A". It matches the Rfam family "Bacterial RNase P class A". From Rfam's summary of the family: Ribonuclease P (RNase P) is a ubiquitous endoribonuclease, found in archaea, bacteria and eukarya as well as chloroplasts and mitochondria. Its best characterised activity is the generation of mature 5'-ends of tRNAs by cleaving the 5'-leader elements of precursor-tRNAs. RNAcentral also lists the same sequence under 1 other name. Lineage: Bacteria; Bacillati; Actinomycetota; Actinomycetes; Pseudonocardiales. The record is from RNAcentral.